This 331-nucleotide unclassified non-coding RNA is filed under the name soil metagenome. RNAcentral's name for it is "partial contains 5.8S ribosomal RNA, internal transcribed spacer 2, and large subunit ribosomal RNA". The stretch from base 1 to 120 matches the Rfam family "5.8S ribosomal RNA", at positions 35 to 154 of the family's 154-position model. The record is from RNAcentral.
GAUGAAUAACGCAGCGAAAUGCGAUAAGUAAUGUGAAUUGCAGAAUUCAGUGAAUCAUCGAAUCUUUGAACGCACAUUGCGCCCCCUGGUAUUCCGGGGGGCAUGCCUGUUCGAGCGUCAUUUCACCACUCAAGCCUCGCUUGGUAUUGGGCAACGCGGUCCGCCGCGUGCCUCAAAUCGACCGGCUGGGUCUUCUGUCCCCUAAGCGUUGUGGAAACUAUUCGCUAAAGGGUGCUCGGGAGGCUACGCCGUAAAACAAACCCAUUUCUAAGGUUGACCUCGGAUCAGGUAGGGAUACCCGCUGAACUUAAGCAUAUCAAUAAGCGGAGGA